This is a long non-coding RNA of Cercocebus atys (sooty mangabey), 2012 nucleotides long. RefSeq lists it as uncharacterized. The record is from RefSeq and is a predicted model, not a curated record. The transcript is spliced from 3 exons. NCBI's taxonomy places the organism in Eukaryota, Metazoa, Chordata, Mammalia, Primates, Cercopithecidae.
AUUGUGACUCGUUUGAGCUCUCAGCCCGGCCUGUAUCCUGGCGGGAGCCAUCCCCGACUGGCUCGGCAGCUCCAGGCUAUUCCGAGGAACAGUCUUCAGAGAGCCUGGGUGCUGAGGGGGAAAGUUGUUGCUGAGAUUUGACAAGUUUGGUCCUGAGAUGUCAGAAAGAAUUUCAGCUCUUCUGCCACCCCAAGGAUGGUGGCAAGUAAAUCACAGUGAGCUGGCUUUUGUCAGGUCGACUGUGGAAUUUGAUGCUAGCUCAUAGCUACCUCCUCUUCCUUGCCUGCCUCUCUCGCUCUCUCAGCUCUAGUUUGAGAUCAGCACAGAUUCCCUGGGUGAUUUUUGAGAAAACUGCCUCCUCUUUAGGACUUGGCAUCCCGAACCUCCAUCAGGAAAGGGUGGCGACAUAUACUCUCACACCCAGGGAGACUGCAAGGCCUACCCUCCACUCUCCACCUGGGUUCUCUGGCAUCGAGACUUGUGCCCUACAGUUUUGGGCCCUUGAGGUGAUGUCCCAGUGGGACCAGGGUGAGGGUGCAGGUAUCUGAGAGCAUAGUAGGACCAGAACCUCUAACCUUAGGGAGGCUUCCUGGGAGCCAAGCUUGGUGACUUAGAAUGUGAAUGUCUGACUCAUAUCCCACUACCUUUUAGUGGGUGCUGCAGAGGACAAUGGAGAGGGAUUCAACUCUGAAGAGUGGUCUUGUGGAAGAGGUAGCUGGCUUGUUCAGUGUGUCUCUGGCAGCCUCCCUAAGGUUCCCAGGUAGAAGUUUCUGGCAGGUAGAUUUCAGCUGUGUUUAAGGAAGAACUUUGAAGUUGUCAGAAUGAGCUGUCUUGUGAUAGUGAGCUCCCUGUCUGCAGAGGCAUGCAAGCAGGGCACUUUCACUUAUGCAUUCAAGCUGACCUACGCAAGGCACUGUGCUAAGUGCUGGGUGCAGAGGAGAACGAGACCCAGUGGGGAAACAGGCACUUGCAAUGCUGCUGUGAGUAUGAGCAGAGAAGGACAUGUUGCAGAAGAAAUGCAAGUACAGUGAAGAAUAAGACUGGGGAACUUUUACAAUUCAGAGUGGCCUUCACUGUGGGUGAUCUGAAUUGAUCCCUGUAUACAGGUGCUUCUGGGGUGACACUUUCCCUGCUCCAUGGAGCUCCAGGAGGAGCGCGGACCACCCCCUUCUUUGUAGGCCCGUCUGUGGGGUGCCGCUCCUCCUCCCACCUCCCCACUGCACAGGCAGCCCAUCAGUGUCCAUGAGCUGCUCCAGAAGGAUGCAGAUCUGAGGAGGCUCGGGGAGCGGCGUAUCCUAGCAACCUCUGAGGCUGGCAUCUGCAGGACUAGGCCCAGACUCAAGGCUCUUUCUAAUUCACCAGCCUUCCCUUAAUGAUAAGCUUUCCCACACAGAUGUGGGGGUGGGGAGGAAGAGGGGAGAAGUGGGCAGGAAGUGUUGCCUCCAACCCCAUCACAGAGCAGGUCAAGCCUCGCCCACAGCACUGCCAGGGAUGGGGGAAGGAGGGAGGGCAAAGGGAGUCCCUUAACUGCAUAUGCCACUUGUCCAUCACCAUGGCCAGUUUAUCACCGUUUAGAGGACAAUGAAUCCAGGCAGUGAUCAUCAAUGAUAACUAACAUCAUAAAAAGAUAGAUGGCUGGACAUGAUGUUCCUUCUGAUGAAAGACCACAACACCUACUGAAAAAUCAAACCUGAAUCAGAUCAAGCCUCUAGAGAAGGCAGCACCCAGGGUCAUUCCUGGAGCAUAAACAAUCCCUGCAGAACAUGGGCUAGAAGACCCCACAGAUCCUGGACUGGGAUCCCAGCAGUGAGAAGACCCGGACAUCAACCCUAUUUCAUUCUGUGGCCUCUGCAAAUCUCCAAACUUGUGGAGCUGUAGUUGCAAGCUCAGACUUGUGGUUUCCUGUACCUGGAGGAGGCCCAGGUCAUUCUGUUAAGUCCCUUGUCUAUUUCCUGUUUUUAUCUGGAUGCUGAGUUAACUAUUUGAUCCAACAAUAAAACUAGCAAGGUUUU